AUAAGUUCAAAAGAUGACUUAAAUAAAACUUAUACCUUUUCUCAAUUCUUUAUGUGCUAAAUCUCUUAUAAAAUAAAGAUAAAAUGAGACUAAACUAUCUUUAAGAUCUAAGAUCCUUCCAAUCCAUAGCAAUAUAAAUUCUGUCACAAUGUAGAAUAUUAUAGAUCAAAAUAAAACUAAACAAAACUAUAUAAUACAGAAUAUGAAAGGUAGAACAAAGUAAAAGAGAAUAGAAUAGAAUCAAAUAAAAAAGUGUAAAACCAAAAUUUACUAAGCAAAAGAGUUUGAAGCUAUAUGUAACCAAAUAUUCCAAAUGGCCAUGGCCAAUCCUAUUUAUAUUUUGUCCUACCAUCUUAGAAUCUUUUAGAAUAUUUAUAAUAGUAGGCCCUACCUAAAUAACUUCUUUAAGUCCUUUUCUAGAAUAUUCCAUGGUACAUCCUAUAUAGACUAUUAAUCUAGUUCCGAUUCUAAAAACUUCUAAAAACUUUCCAAACAUGGCUCU
Molecule: long non-coding RNA, 502 nt
Filed under: Physcomitrium patens
Lineage: Eukaryota; Viridiplantae; Streptophyta; Bryopsida; Funariales; Funariaceae
Description: long non-coding RNA (PPAT_LNC003468)
Source: RNAcentral